Molecule: long non-coding RNA, 396 nt
Organism: Musa acuminata AAA Group (dessert banana)
Lineage: Eukaryota; Viridiplantae; Streptophyta; Magnoliopsida; Zingiberales; Musaceae
Exons: 2
Source: RefSeq, a predicted model, not a curated record
UCUUCCCCUUUCCGUAGUGGCGGUGGCGUAACGGUCCUCGCCUGCCUCCUCCUCCUACAGCUACCGCUUACCCAACGCCAGCCGCAACCCGCUCAGGCCGCCGUCUGAUCGCGCCGCGGGCCUGCGGAUCGGGGAUGACUCUGCGGGGACUUGGUGAGCCGUCCUCUUCGCCGGAACCAAUGGUUACUACAAGUACCCCAUCAGGGUUAUAUUAGUGUGAACAACUUCUUUGUUGAUGAUGGUGUAGUAGACCCACUUUGAUGGGAGAUGAGCUGACCUCUUAUCAAAGGUUAAGGAUUCGAAAUGAUGAUGGUGUAAUAGACCCACUUUGAUGGGAGAUGACAUUAAUGUGAACAACUUCCUUGAUGUGUGUAGAUGAUCAUAUCUUCCUUCGUA